Molecule: ribosomal RNA, 482 nt
Filed under: uncultured bacterium
Lineage: Bacteria
Description: bacterial SSU rRNA
Rfam family: Bacterial small subunit ribosomal RNA
Source: RNAcentral
UUGAACGCUGGCGGAAUGCUUUACACAUGCAAGUCGAGCGGCAGCGCGGGGGCAACCCUGGCGGCGAGCGGCGAACGGGUGAGUAAUGCAUCGGAACGUACCCAGUCGUGGGGGAUAACUACGCGAAAGCGUAGCUAAUACCGCAUACGCCCUGAGGGGGAAAGCGGGGGACCUUCGGGCCUCGCGCGAUUGGAGCGGCUGAUGUCGGAUUAGCUAGUUGGUGGGGUAAAGGCCUACCAAGGCGACGAUCCGUAGCUGGUCUGAGAGGAUGAUCAGCCACACUGGGACUGAGACACGGCCCAGACUCCUACGGGAGGCAGCAGUGGGGAAUUUUGGACAAUGGGCGAAAGCCUGAUCCAGCCAUGCCGCGUGAGUGAAGAAGGCCUUCGGGUUGUAAAGCUCUUUCAGCCGGAAAGAAAUCGCGCAGGCUAAUACUCUGCGUGGAUGACGGUACCGGAAGAAGAAGCACCGGCUAACUACGU